Molecule: ribosomal RNA, 465 nt
Filed under: Vreelandella stevensii
Lineage: Bacteria; Pseudomonadati; Pseudomonadota; Gammaproteobacteria; Oceanospirillales; Halomonadaceae
Description: partial 16S ribosomal RNA
Rfam family: Bacterial small subunit ribosomal RNA
Source: RNAcentral
CCUACGGGGGGCAGCAGUGGGGAAUAUUGGACAAUGGGCGAAAGCCUGAUCCAGCCAUGCCGCGUGUGUGAAGAAGGCCUUCGGGUUGUAAAGCACUUUCAGUGGGGAAGAAAGCCUUGGGGCUAAUACCCUCGAGGAAGGACAUCACCCACAGAAGAAGCACCGGCUAACUCCGUGCCAGCAGCCGCGGUAAUACGGAGGGUGCGAGCGUUAAUCGGAAUUACUGGGCGUAAAGCGCGCGUAGGCGGUCUGAUAAGCCGGUUGUGAAAGCCCCGGGCUCAACCUGGGAACGGCAUCCGGAACUGUCAGGCUAGAGUGCAGGAGAGGAAGGUAGAAUUCCCGGUGUAGCGGUGAAAUGCGUAGAGAUCGGGAGGAAUACCAGUGGCGAAGGCGUCCUUCUGGACUGACACUGACGCUGAGGUGCGAAAGCGUGGGUAGCAAACAGGAUUAGAUACCCGAGUAGUC